AGUUCAGUCCUCACCACAAGGUGCCACUGUCAUCCAGGGAGAAACUUUCACAGUAUUAUUAGAGUGAACAAUUUGAUGUUUUGAAUAAAAAGCAGUGCCUCAAAUAGCAUGGGUGAUCCAUAAGUGCAGGAGCAAGCUUCCACAGAUGGACCACAUUGCUGGAUAUUACUAGUGUGUGCUGUAAGGUGUCUCUCCUGCAUCUAAUGCUGAAGGUUGGAUGAUACCAAAACAAAGGGUGGGCGGUCAACAAAGUCUAUUAGAUACAAGUUAUCCAAGUGAGAACAUUUCAUAACCACCAGAAUAUAUUCAAAGGAAAUCCUGCUCCACAUUAACAAGAACAGGGAACAUGUUGUCAAGAGUUCAGCAAAGAAGCUUUCAUUUCCCCUAAUUCAACAUGUCAACAAUCAAAGGUAUCUCAUCUUAAGGAACCUAUAUCCAUUUUAAAGAUGCAUUAUAGCACCAUAGAAUUGGAAGAGUAUCAAAAGGCAAUCUAGACAAGCCCCUGCAAAAAGACUGCCAUCUAGAGAUUAGCUUCCACCCUCAUGAAUCAAGCAAGUGUGACACAUCAUCAGAGCAAGUGCACUGCAUGAUGGUGCAAGAAGAUGUCCAAAUUAUUUAAGGAAACUUAUUAUUUAAGAAAACAUGGACACCUAUACAUUAGGAAGUGACUCUGUGCCUAUAGGUGCUGAUGAAAUUGCCCUCUCGAACUAAAAGCUGGUAACCAGAACAUUGUGACUUCCAAUACAUAAGCCUAAUCCCAGUCCACCUCUUCCUAAAUCCAUUUUAUUUACCCAAUGGCAAGUCAUACAAUUGAUGUACAUUUAUGAAUAGAAAUAUAAGUAGCCUAUUGCUUAACGUUGAAGCUGAAAGGUGGGCAGGGGGAGUUUAUUAGAGCAUAGUACACAUAUUCUCAUGAACCAAAUAGCAGACUAUAUGAUUUGCAUGCAGAAUGUAGUUUGUGCAUAAAACUGGAAAAUCUGGUUUGGUUUGAAUAGAACUGGACUCGAGCCUAACUGGGUCUGGUUCAGUUUUGUGCACGGGUGAGCCAGGCCUGGUUUGGCUCGAGUCCAAACUGUUGCACUUGAAUUGAGGGGUGUGUGGAGCUGUAAUUUAAAAAACAAUA
This is a long non-coding RNA of Hemicordylus capensis (graceful crag lizard), 1123 nucleotides long. RefSeq lists it as uncharacterized. The transcript is spliced from 3 exons. Lineage: Eukaryota; Metazoa; Chordata; Lepidosauria; Squamata; Cordylidae. The record is from RefSeq and is a predicted model, not a curated record.